GACGAACGCUGGCGGCGUGCUUAACACAUGCAAGUCGAACGGAAAGGCCCUGCUUUUGUGGGGUGCUCGAGUGGCGGACGGGUGAGUAACACGUGAGUAACCUGCCCUUGACUUUGGGAUAACUUCAGGAAACUGGGGCUAAUACCGGAUAGGAGCUCCUGCUGCAUGGUGGGGGUUGGAAAGUUUCGGCGGUUGGGGAUGGACUCGCGGCUUAUCAGCUUGUUGGUGGGGUAGUGGCUUACCAAGGCUUUGACGGGUAGCCGGCCUGAGAGGGUGACCGGCCACAUUGGGACUGAGAUACGGCCCAGACUCCUACGGGAGGCAGCAGUGGGGAAUAUUGCACAAUGGGCGGAAGCCUGAUGCAGCAACGCCGCGUGCGGGAUGACGGCCUUCGGAUUGUAAACCGCUUUCGCCUGUGACGAAGCGUGAGUGACGGUAAUGGGUAAAGAAGCACCGGCUAACUACGUG
Molecule: ribosomal RNA, 468 nt
Filed under: uncultured bacterium
Lineage: Bacteria
Description: partial 16S ribosomal RNA
Rfam family: Bacterial small subunit ribosomal RNA
Source: RNAcentral